AAGCUCAAGCAACAGCGAUUGCUGAAGUAACGGCGAGUGAACGAGCACCUUCUUGGCUCAACCCGAAGGAGAUUCCCCUCCUGCCCCUGGGUGAUUGGCAGGGUGCGGUCCGCUACUGUUGGUUUCACCAGAUGCUGUGGGCUUUGGAGCAGACAGUGGUGCAUGCAGGCUGGUUGUGGUUCCAGGAAGUGCCCUGGAAUGGCUCACAUCAGAGGGAUACUGUCCCAAACUCUGCCUUUUGUGCCACGACCGCCUGUGGUGCUGCUUCCUGUGUCCUCGAGUAGAGCGGCUUGGGACGGACUGUAGUUUGAACUGUGGGGUGUAUCCACCACAAGGAGCAAUAUCAACAUGGGACCGAUAGAGCACAAGUAGAGUGAUUGAAGGAUGCAAAGGACUUUGCAAAGAGGGUUAAAAGUCCGUGAAGCCUUGGCAGUGACGGCGGUGUGUGGUGCUGUGGUUCUCCUGUGUGCUGGCACAGCACGGUUCUCCUUUGCGCUGUGGCUGUGCAGCACAGCAAGUUGCAUUCUGCCUGAGAGAUAUUCCUAAGCGACCUUGGGCCAGCCAAGUGCUGGCCACUGAGCCUGUCCCUCAAAAAGAUGGUUGCAAUUGUGGGAGUCACUUGGUGGCAAAUUGCCUGCCUGGGCCUGAGGUGUUCACAGUGAGAGGUUGUGUCUCUCCCACACAGGGCUUCCGCCAAGUGUUGCCUCUCUCGGGGUGCUGUGUGGGCAGAGAGAUGGAGAUGCAACGAGAGAGUGUCCUCUGGACCUGGUGCGCCUUCGGGCUGUGCCAGUCGCUGCUGCCCAGUCAUGGUUCACGGGGCUGGCAGGUGUGUGGUGGCUGCACCACUCGUUGGUGGCCACUGUGCGCCAGCACAGCCCCCCAGAUGGUGCACAGUGCAGAGAGGCAAGCACAGCUUGGUGCAGCAGUGCCACCCUCUGCCCGUCUUGAAACACGGACCAAGGAGUCUAUGGAGCUUGCAGGUUUGCUGGUGUGAUCAUGGAAAACCGCAGUGCAUGGUGAAGGCAACACGGACCAAGAAUGUGUGGGCUUCCAGCCAGGCACGAGCGCCGGCUCUGGACCAAAAGCCUGCAAACCACACCCAGAUGGUGCACAAAAUGCGAGUGCUGCAUGAGUCACCGGCUCCGCCGUCCAUUGGACAGGGUUUUGAGUGCUUGCAAGGUCCAUGGGACCCGAAAGGUGGUGAACUAUACCGUUCCAUGACGAAGCCAUGGGAAACCGUGGUGGAGGUCAGUCGCUGUUCUGACGUGCAAAUUGUGUAGCCUGAGUGCGGCAUAGGGGUGAAAGGCCAAUCGAGCCACCUAGUAGCUGGUUUCCCU
Molecule: ribosomal RNA, 1337 nt
Filed under: Phacus warszewiczii
Lineage: Eukaryota; Euglenozoa; Euglenophyceae; Euglenales; Phacaceae
Description: partial large subunit ribosomal RNA
Rfam family: Eukaryotic large subunit ribosomal RNA
Source: RNAcentral